ACAGAGGGUGCAAACGUUGCUCGGAAUUACUGGGCGUAAAGCGCGUGUAGGCGGACCGGUAAGUCAGAUGUGAAAGCCCUGGGCUCAACCUAGGAACUGCAUUUGAAACUGCCGGUCUUGAGUGGUGGAGAGGGAAGUGGAAUUCCUGGUGUAGAGGUGAAAUUCGUAGAUAUCAGGAGGAACACCAGUGGCGAAGGCGGCUUCCUGGACACUAACUGACGCUGAGACGCGAAAGCGUGGGGAGCAAACAGG
This 252-nucleotide ribosomal RNA is filed under the name uncultured bacterium. Its description in RNAcentral is "partial 16S ribosomal RNA". It matches the Rfam family "Bacterial small subunit ribosomal RNA", at positions 525 to 776 of the family's 1533-position model. The record is from RNAcentral.